AGAGUUUGAUCAUGGCUCAGAAUCAACGCUGGCGGCGUGCCUAAUACAUGCAAGUCGAACGCGAAAGUCCCGCAAGGGGCAAGUAGAGUGGCAAACGGGUGAGUAACGCGUGGGCGACCUACCUUCGAGUGGGGGAUAACCUUCCGAAAGGAGGGCUAAUACCGCAUGACAGCCUCUGUUUGGAUACAGGGGACUCAAAGCCGGGGAUCGCAAGACCUGGCGCUUGGAGAGGGGCCCGCGUCCGAUUAGCUAGUUGGUGGGGUAACGGCUCACCAAGGCUUCGAUCGGUAUCCGGCCUGAGAGGGCGGACGGACACACUGGGACUGAGACACGGCCCAGACUCCUACGGGAGGCAGCAGUAGGGAAUUGUUCGCAAUGGGCGCAAGCCUGACGACGCAACGCCGCGUGGAGGAUGAAGACCUUCGGGUCGUAAACUCCUUUCGACCGAGAUGAAUUCUCGCCGGCCUAAUAUGCCGGCGGGGUGACAGUAUCGAGGGAAGCAGCCCCGGCUAACUCCGUGCCAGCAGCCGCGGUAAUACGGGGGGGGCAAGCGUUGUUCGGAAUUACUGGGCGUAAAGGGUUCGUAGGUGGCCAACUAAGUCAGACGUGAAAUCCCUCAGCUUAACUGGGGAACUGCGUCUGAUACUGGUUGGCUUGAGUGCAGGAGAGGAACGCGGAAUUCCAGGUGUAGCGGUGAAAUGCGUAGAUAUCUGGAGGAACACCGGUGGCGAAGGCGGCGUUCUGGACUGCAACUGACACUGAGGAACGAAAGCCAGGGGAGCAAACGGGAUUAGAUACCCCCGUAGUCC
This 809-nucleotide ribosomal RNA is filed under the name uncultured bacterium. RNAcentral's name for it is "bacterial SSU rRNA". It matches the Rfam family "Bacterial small subunit ribosomal RNA", at positions 8 to 796 of the family's 1533-position model. The record is from RNAcentral.